CGUAGGUGGCAAGCGUUGUCCGGAUUUAUUGGGUUUAAAGGGUGCGUAGGCGGUCCUAUAAGUCAGUGGUGAAAUACGGCAGCUCAACUGUCGAGGUGCCAUUGAUACUGCAGGACUAGAGUACUGAUGAGGUAGGCGGAAUGGACGGUGUAGCGGUGAAAUGCUUAGAUAUCGUCCAGAACACCGAUAGCGAAGGCAGCUUACUAAAGAGUAACUGACGCUGAGGCACGAAAGUGUGGGGAUCAAACAGGAUUAGAUACCCUGGUAGUCCACACUGUAAACGUUGAUCACUAGAUGUUGGCGAUACACUGCCAGCGUUCCAGCAAAAGCGAUAAGUGAUCCACCCGGGGAGUACGCCCGCAAGGUG
RNAcentral lists this ribosomal RNA (367 nucleotides) under uncultured organism. Its description in RNAcentral is "bacterial SSU rRNA". It matches the Rfam family "Bacterial small subunit ribosomal RNA", at positions 526 to 896 of the family's 1533-position model. The record is from RNAcentral.